AGUGAGCGCUGGCGGUAGGCCUAACACAUGCAAGUCGAACGGCAGCACAGUAAGAGCUUGCUCUUACGGGUGGCGAGUGGCGGACGGGUGAGGAAUACAUCGGAAUCUACUUUUUCGUGGGGGAUAACGUAGGGAAACUUACGCUAAUACCGCAUACGACCUACGGGUGAAAGCAGGGGAUCUUCGGACCUUGCGCGAUUGAAUGAGCCGAUGUCGGAUUAGCUAGUUGGCGGGGUAAAGGCCCACCAAGGCGACGAUCCGUAGCUGGUCUGAGAGGAUGAUCAGCCACACUGGAACUGAGACACGGUCCAGACUUCUACGGGAGGCAGCAGUGGGGAAUAUUGGACAAUGGGCGCAAGCCUGAUCCAGCCAUACCGCGUGGGUGAAGAAGGCCUUCGGGUUGUAAAGCCCUUUUGUUGGGAAAGAAAAGCAGCAGGUUAAUACCCCGCUGUUCUGACGGUACCCAAAGAAUAAGCACCGGCUAACUUCGUG
RNAcentral lists this ribosomal RNA (492 nucleotides) under uncultured bacterium. RNAcentral describes it as "partial 16S ribosomal RNA". It matches the Rfam family "Bacterial small subunit ribosomal RNA", at positions 29 to 507 of the family's 1533-position model. The record is from RNAcentral.